Molecule: ribosomal RNA, 497 nt
Filed under: uncultured bacterium
Lineage: Bacteria
Description: partial 16S ribosomal RNA
Rfam family: Bacterial small subunit ribosomal RNA
Source: RNAcentral
GAUGAACGCUGGCGGCGUGCCUAAUACAUGCAAGUCGAGCGAACGGUCGAGAAGCUUGCUUCUCUGACGUUAGCGGCGGACGGGUGAGUAACACGUGGAUAACCUACCUAUAAGACUGGGAUAACUUCGGGAAACCGGAGCUAAUACCGGAUAAUAUCUUGAACCGCAUGGUUCAAAAGUAAAAGACGGUCUUGCUGUCACUUAUAGAUGGUUCCGCGCUGCAUUAGCUAGUUGGUAAGGUAACGGCUUACCAAGGCAACGAUGCAUAGCCGACCUGAGAGGAUGAUCGGCCACGCUAGAACUGGAACACGGUCCAGGCUCCUACGGGAGGCAGCAGUAGGCAAUCUUCCGCAAUGGUCGAAAGCCUGGCGGAGCAACGCCGCGUAAGUGAUGAAGGUCUUCGGAUCGUAAAACUCGGUUAUUAGGGAAGAACAUAUGUGUAAGGAGCUGUACACUUCUUGACGGUACCUAAUCAGAAAGCCACGGCUAACUACGUG